CCUACGGGGGGCAGCAGUGAGGAAUAUUGGUCAAUGGACGCAAGUCUGAACCAGCCAUGCCGCGUGCAGGAAGACGGCUCUAUGAGUUGUAAACUGCUUUUGUACGAGGGUAAACGCAGAUACGCGUAUCUGUCUGAAAGUAUCGUACGAAUAAGGAUCGGCUAACCACGGGCCAGCAGCCGCGGUAAUACGGAGGAUUCAAGCGUUAUCCGGAUUUAUUGGGUUGAAAGGGUGCGUAGGCGGUCGGAUAAGUUAGUGGUGAAAGCCCGAGGCUCAACUUCGGAAGUGCCUCUGAUACGGGUCGGCUAGAGAGUAGUUGAGGUAGGCGGAAUGUAUGGUGUAGCGGUGAAAUGCUUAGAGAUCAUACAGAACACCGAUUGCGAAGGCAGCUUACCAAGCUACUUCUGACGUUGAGGCACGAAAGCGUGGGGAGCAAACAGGAUUAGAUACCCUUGUAGUC
This 460-nucleotide ribosomal RNA is filed under the name uncultured bacterium. RNAcentral describes it as "partial 16S ribosomal RNA". It matches the Rfam family "Bacterial small subunit ribosomal RNA", at positions 338 to 795 of the family's 1533-position model. The record is from RNAcentral.